CAUGAACGCGGAAUGUUCGGUUCCGGGGGUAUCCUCGGAAGCAAUAGGGAAUGCAGUGCGGCACAUGUGUGCCAAGUCUGCAACUGCCCCCGCAACUGUAAGCGGUGAGUGCGGCUGAUAAUACCACUGGGACACCCCGGGAAGGUCAGCCAAGCGCUUUGACCCGCGAGUCAGGAGACCUGCCGAACAUGCGCCCCCGGAA
RNAcentral lists this non-coding RNA (202 nucleotides) under Falsiruegeria mediterranea M17. The record is from RNAcentral. Lineage: Bacteria; Pseudomonadati; Pseudomonadota; Alphaproteobacteria; Rhodobacterales; Roseobacteraceae.